GAUGAACGCUGGCGGCGUGCUUAACACAUGCAAGUCGAACGGAAAGGCUCCUGCUUGCAGGGGUACUCGAGUGGCGAACGGGUGAGUAACACGUGGGUGAUCUUCCCUGCGCUUCGGGAUAAGCCUGGGAAACUGGGUCUAAUACCGGAUAGGACGAUGGUUUGGAUGCCAUUGUGGAAAGUUUUGCGGUGUGGGAUGAGCUCGCGGCCUAUCAGCUUGUUGGUGGGGUUAUGGCCUACCAAGGCGUCGACGGGUAGCCGGCCUGGGAGGGUGUACGGCCACAGUGGGCCAGGGGUACGGCCCAGGGUCAAACGGGGGGCAGGGGUGGAGACUAGUGCACAAUGGGCGCAAGCCUGAUGCAGCGACGCCGGGUGGGGGAUGACGGCUUUCGGGUAGUAAACUCCUGGCGCUAGGGACGAAGCGGAAGUGACGGACCCGGGAGAAGAAACCCGGGUUAACUACGU
This 464-nucleotide ribosomal RNA is filed under the name uncultured bacterium. Its description in RNAcentral is "partial 16S ribosomal RNA". It matches the Rfam family "Bacterial small subunit ribosomal RNA", at positions 28 to 506 of the family's 1533-position model. The record is from RNAcentral.